UGGAGGAGAGAAGAUGGCGGAAGCGGAGUGAGUGACUAGAUGAUUUAAGGACCAUAGUACAGCUAUGGAUACUGAACCAAACCCGGGAACAUCUUCUGUGUCAACAACAACCAGCAGUACCACCACCACCACCAUCACCACUUCCUCCUCUCGAAUGCAGCAGCCACAGAUCUCUGUCUACAGUGGUUCAGACCGACAUGCUGUACAGGCAUUGCAUCGGCCCCCCAGCUCAGCUGCUCAGUACCUUCAGCAAAUGUAUGCAGCCCAACAACAGCACUUGAUGCUGCAUACUGCAGCUCUUCAGCAGCAGCAUUUAAGCAGCUCCCAGCUUCAGAGCCUUGCUGCUGUUCAGGCAAGUUUGUCCAGUGGAAGACCAUCUACAUCUCCCACAGGAAGUGUCACACAGCAGUCAAGUAUGUCCCAAACGUCUAUCAACCUCUCCACUUCUCCUACACCUGCACAGUUAAUAAGCCGUUCCCAGGCUUCCAGUUCUACCAGCGGCAGUAUUACCCAACAGACUAUGUUACUAGGGAGUACUUCCCCUACCCUAACGGCAAGCCAAGCUCAAAUGUAUCUCCGAGCUCAAAUGGUAAGAUAUGAGCUACCAAAUUUUUUCAGUGUUUAAGGACUUGAGAGAUCAAAAUGUUUCUUGAUUUGAUACAAUAAGAGGUAUUUUUAAUAUUUAAGAAAUGUUUAAUUGUGUGUGUGUGCAUGCGGGCGUGCCUUCAGCUCUUGUACAUUUAUGUCAUGAAAGAUUCUACUUUUAAUUAAUAGGUCUUCUUGGUAUCAAAUAGUAAUUAUUACAUUGAGAAUCUAAUAGAGAUUCAGUAACGUAAGAGUGAUUAUUUUUUAAUAUCAAAUUCAUCGAAAACCUUUUUUUCAUAUUUUAACAUCUCUGAAAUUUGGAUGCAUUUUAUAACUGAUGGCAUCUUGGUACUUACAGUGGUCCAUAAAAUCAUUGCCUGUUUUUGUCAACUUAGAUUUGGUGAAAUAGAGAUGUUAAAAAAACUUUGUUGUUAAUAAUUUGUAUCCUAGGAUUUUCUGAAUUCUAUAUUGGAGUUCGGGAUAGUCUCCCAGAUGAUUCUUAACUUUGGUUUUUCCCAUCUCAAAUUCUGCAAGGUUAUUUGUAUUCUUGUGUUCAUUUUGAUAUUUUAUGAAUAUAGGAAUGUUAAUUUGGUUAUUCUGUAUUUGAGUAUCUACAGAUUUUCUAAUUUAAUUGUUGAGCUUCUUUAAGGAAUAUAGAAAUUGGUUGACAUGUAUUUUAUUUGAUGUCUUUACAAGAAGCUAGACAAAAGCGUUGUCCCUAAUAUAUAUUUAUAUUCUUUUUUGUCCAGUGGACUGAAUAUAUAUCUGGAUCUCCAGUUUUUGUUGUUGUUGUUGUUGUUUUUUGAGGUGAAGUCUCACUCUGUCACCCAGGCUAGAGUGCAGUGGCACGAUCUCUGCUCACUGCAACCUCUGCCUCCCGGGUUCAAGUGAUUCUCCCACUUCAGCCUCCCAAGUAGCUGGGAUUACGGGUGCCCGCCACCACACCCAGCUAAUUUUUGUAUUUUUAGUAGAGACGGGGUUUCACCAUCUUGGCCUGGCUGGUCUCAAACUCCUGACCUUGUGAUCCACCUGCCUCACCUCCCAGAAUGCUGGGAUUACAGACAUGAACCACCACACCUGGCUUGGAUCUUCAGUUUUCUAUCUAAAAUUGCAAAGUUUCCAAUCAUUUAACUCAUACUAUGCUUUAAAAUUAGGUUGAACCAUUUGAGAUGGUUGCUAUUUGGCUAUUUUUGGACUCUAAAAUUAGCAGUUUCAUACGGGUCAAACUAAAUUGAAUGUCUUCUUUUUAGGUUUAGUCCUUUCAGGGUGUUGGUACUGGAAAUUACCUUUUCAGGAAAGUUAUACUGUUUGUCCCUUGGUGUCUAUGGUGGAUUGUUGCCAGGCCCCACCCUCUCUGUCCCCUAGAAUACCCAAAUCUGAGGAUGCUCAAGGCAUAGUAUUUGCAUAUAACCUAUGUAUAUCCUCCCAUAUACUUUACAUCAUCUUUACAUAUAUUUAGUAUAAUAUAAACAUCAUUUAAAUAACUGUUAUACUAUAUUGUUUAGGGAAUAAUGACAAGAGAAAAAUUUGUACAUGUUCAAUGCAGAUGCAGCUAUUUUUUUAAAUGAAUAUUGUUUUGAUCUAUAGUUGAAUGACGAAGCACAGAGCCUUACAUAGAUAUGGAGGGCUCAUCAUUGUACUUUGUUGUUGAAUUUACUUAGAUUUAGUGUACCAAAGAACUGAAGUUUAAAAGGUCAUUUAAUUGGUCGUUUAAUUUUUCUAAUUUUUUUGGAUCCACAUUUGGUUGAACAUUUUAAUUUAGAUAGCAAGAGGAACUGAAUAACCCUUGAUACAAUUUUGAAAUAAAGUAUUUACACAUUCUUUG
This 2410-nucleotide small RNA is filed under the name Pan troglodytes (chimpanzee). RNAcentral's name for it is "retained intron". The record is from RNAcentral. Lineage: Eukaryota; Metazoa; Chordata; Mammalia; Primates; Hominidae.